This 263-nucleotide ribosomal RNA is filed under the name uncultured bacterium. RNAcentral's name for it is "partial 16S ribosomal RNA". It matches the Rfam family "Bacterial small subunit ribosomal RNA", at positions 90 to 354 of the family's 1533-position model. The record is from RNAcentral.
CAUGAGUGGCGGACGGGUGAGUAACGCGUGGGCAACCUGGCCUGUACAGGGGGAUAACACUUAGAAAUAGGUGCUAAUACCGCAUAACGGGAGAAGCCGCAUGGCUUUUUCCUGAAAACUCCGGUGGUACAGGAUGGGCCCGCGUCUGAUUAGCUUGUUGGCGGGGUAGGGGCCCACCAAGGCGACGAUCAGUAGCCGGCCUGAGAGGGUGGACGGCCACAUUGGGACUGAGACACGGCCCAAACUCCUACGGAAGGCAGCAG